RNAcentral lists this long non-coding RNA (1765 nucleotides) under Olea europaea subsp. europaea. Lineage: Eukaryota; Viridiplantae; Streptophyta; Magnoliopsida; Lamiales; Oleaceae. The record is from RNAcentral.
CUCAUAACUAAUAUGCCCAAAUCCCCUCAAAACCCCAAAACAACACAAUGCCCUACUGGUUACAGGCAAAAAUCCCAAAUCGCUACAAAAUCCACGACUCAAGUUUCUUCGUAUGAAAAAGAUAGGGCAAAAAAACCAUCUCCAACCAGUGAAUCUUUCGAUGGCUGCUUUGGGGUUUCCAAUUGAUAACUAUUUCUCCCUCUGUGGACUCUUUCUUGAAGUUUUCGCUUUACAUUGCACCAUUAACGGUAAGAGCUAUUGAUCUAGUCCUUCCUGUUUUUUUUCUCUUGAAAUAUUUAUUCAAUUCGGAUUUUGAUACAUUUCUGCAUUUUUGUUUUAACUUUUCAAAGGUUUCAAAUGACUGUAAAUCUCUAUUAGUUUCUACUAGUAUAAACUGAGAAGGAAUGGCAAAAAUUAGAGAUGUAAUUGAGGAUUUUAAAGAUGCAAUUCUGCUUGUGGCACCGGGUUUGGGAUAUAAUGAGAUUCUUUUCCUUUGUGAAUUUUGUUAUUUUUCAAUCAAUAUGAUAUCAGUCGAAAUUUUUUGCUAUAUUUUUUCCAUUGACCAUUUAUAUGGUGGUUUGAGAUUGGAAUUUAAAACUUUUUCAACACAAUUAUAAAUAAUUUGCGAGGUUUGACAGUCAAGUUUUGUUUUGUGUAAAAUGCUAUGCGGAUAUUGUUUGUGAAAUGCUAUGACGAUUCUCUUAGUUGAUCUUUAUUUAUUUCUUGGUAUUGUGCCUUCGCUUACUGCAGUUGGUGAUGAGGAAUACUAAUCUAUUCUUACUUAGCCAGUGCUACUGCAAUACGAUUAAUACUAAAUAUUACCUGCUAAAUACUGAUCUUGUUCACAUAUCUGACAACAGAAAUGGCAUUACAAAAUUCUUGUGCUCCAUUUUAUCUUCAUUUUAUCGUAGUUUUUAUGCCCAAGUGAUAUUUUGUACUUGUUUGCUAUAAUUUUGGUAUGGAUGUCAAGUUUAGGAAAGGAUGCUGAGGCAUUAAUCAAGAAAUUGAUCACAUCGAAAGAUAAAGGUCCCUCAGGUCUCCAAGAGAGCUAGCUGCAAAGUACUAGGAGAAGCCAACUAAGUAUGUUAGCCCAAAAUGCAAACCCCAUUUUAUCCAGCAGCAGCAUUCAAUUAUUGGUUAUUAGAUUGCAGCAAAGCAGUUCCCGCUUCUUGUAACUCUAUGUAUAGAAUAAGGUUGUAACUCUCUUGUAUUUAGCUUUGUUCAUAUUCUAACUUGUGAGAAAUGGGAGAAGAAGCUGGGCGUGAGAGAAGAAGCUGGGCGCCUAGGCGCUGGCCGGUAAAAUGGAGCAGAAACCUGGUGCCUAGGCCCCCCGAUGCAUAUAUAUAAAGCUGGUUUUUUCCCUUGCAAAUGGAGUACCCGAUUUUAGAGAAGAGAAACAGAGUGGGCUUGGAUAGAAUUUAUCAAGUAAGAAGUUGUUCUUCUUGGGUAUAAAUUCAAAGCCAUUUUUCUUUCUUUGGGAUUAACUUGAGGCUUGUUCAAGUAAUCCAAAUCCAUUGUUCUUCAUUUAUAUUGAAAAUUAUUUCUUCCCCAAUUUCUUAUCUUUCAAGUGGUUUGGGAUUUUUCACAUUGCAAGUUAUCUUUCUUGGGCAUUCUUGGGAGUGUUGUUUUCCCAACAAUUUGGUAUCAGAGCAUCUUCUUAAAUCAGGGUGGUUAAGCUCCGAUUUUUGGUGGGUGGCUUGAACUUUGUUGUGCACACAAGGUAUUUGUGAAAAUUUCCAAGUGAACUUUGUUGAUUUAUUUUCGG